CAGAGGCUACUACAUGUGCAGAUGUGAAGUGCAGAUGUCCAACUCGAAUGGGAGGAAGAGUGAAAAGGAAGGCAAGCUUAGAGUCCUUGCACACAGGAAACGAUGCAGAUCUUACCUCCCCCAGAAUCCUUGAAACCUUUAUCUGAACAUAUCUAGGAUCUCAAAUCAAAGAGGCAACAGAAAACCAUGACCUGAAUAACUGAGAAUCUCCAUAAACCUGAUCUUGACCAGCUGGGCAUUUGACUACAAAAAGGAAACUCUUCAGUCUGACACAACAAAAGCAACAGGAAAAAUUACAGAAAACAAGGAGAAUUUUUUUCUAUUUGUUUUGUUUACCAAAUGUGACUUCCAAACUAUGUGACACCCACCUUCAAAUAAAUUAUUUCCUCUGGA
Pantherophis guttatus is the source of this 393-nucleotide long non-coding RNA. RefSeq lists it as uncharacterized. The record is from RefSeq and is a predicted model, not a curated record. NCBI's taxonomy places the organism in Eukaryota, Metazoa, Chordata, Lepidosauria, Squamata, Colubridae.